CUUCACGGAGCCGAGCCACAGGGGAUCGUGGUCGCCCCGGUCCCGCCCGUAGGUGGCGAGCAGGGCCUGCGCCUC
This 75-nucleotide antisense RNA is filed under the name Streptomyces dysideae. RNAcentral's name for it is "Streptomyces sp. RV15 ASpks TB sRNA". It matches the Rfam family "ASpks TB sRNA". Lineage: Bacteria; Bacillati; Actinomycetota; Actinomycetes; Kitasatosporales; Streptomycetaceae. The record is from Rfam by way of RNAcentral.